GGAGUUGACUAGGCAGCCGCAGGUAGGUGUAGGUCUACGUGAGGAAAGUCCGGACUCCACAGGGCAAAGGUGAUGGCUAACAGCCACCCGGGGUGACCCGCGGGAAAGUGCCACAGAAAAUAACCGCCUGGCCUAGGCCAGGUAAGGGUGAAAAGGUGGGGUAAGAGCCCACCGCGCGGCUGGUGACAGGCGUGGCUAGGUAAACCCCACCUGGAGCAAGAUCAGACAGCGAGUAGGCCGGCCCGGCUAGCUUGCGGGUAGAUCGCUGGAGGUGCGUGGCAACACGCAUCCUAGAGAAAUGGCUGCCACCGGGGUGCGGUAACGCUAACCGGCAACAGAAUCCGGCUUACUGGCAGCUCCUCCG
RNAcentral lists this RNase P RNA (364 nucleotides) under Actinomycetaceae bacterium. Its description in RNAcentral is "RNase P RNA component class A". It matches the Rfam family "Bacterial RNase P class A". Rfam says of the family: Ribonuclease P (RNase P) is a ubiquitous endoribonuclease, found in archaea, bacteria and eukarya as well as chloroplasts and mitochondria. The record is from RNAcentral. Lineage: Bacteria; Bacillati; Actinomycetota; Actinomycetes; Actinomycetales; Actinomycetaceae.